RNAcentral lists this ribosomal RNA (253 nucleotides) under uncultured bacterium. RNAcentral describes it as "partial 16S ribosomal RNA". It matches the Rfam family "Bacterial small subunit ribosomal RNA", at positions 524 to 776 of the family's 1533-position model. The record is from RNAcentral.
UACGUAGGGGGCUAGCGUUGUCCGGAAUCAUUGGGCGUAAAGAGCGCGUAGGCGGCCAGAUAAGUCCGGUGUGAAAGUCACAGGCUCAACCUGUGAAUGCCGCUGGAAACUGUCUGGCUAGAGUCCGGAAGGGGCGAGUGGAAUUCCUGGUGUAGCGGUGAAAUGCGCAGAUAUCAGGAGGAACACCGGUGGCGAAGGCGGCAUCCUGGACCAAUACUGACGCUGAGGAGCGAAAGCCAGGGGAGCAAACGGG